RNAcentral lists this transfer RNA (86 nucleotides) under Acidimicrobiia bacterium. RNAcentral describes it as "tRNA-Leu". It matches the Rfam family "tRNA". From Rfam's summary of the family: Transfer RNA (tRNA) molecules are approximately 80 nucleotides in length. Their secondary structure includes four short double-helical elements and three loops (D, anti-codon, and T loops). Lineage: Bacteria; Bacillati; Actinomycetota; Acidimicrobiia. The record is from RNAcentral. RNAcentral also lists the same sequence under 2 other names.
GCCCGGGUGGCGGAACUGGCAGACGCGGGGGGCUUAAACCCCCCUGAUCCUUCGGGGUCGUGCGGGUUCAAAUCCCGCCCCGGGCA